GUGCUUGCUUUGGCAGCACAUAUACUAAAACUGGAAGGAUACAGAGAAGAUUAGCAUGGCCCCUACACAGGGAUGAUANACAAAUUUGUGAAGCAUUCCAUAUUUUU
RNAcentral lists this small nuclear RNA (107 nucleotides) under Salvator merianae (Argentine black and white tegu). The record is from RNAcentral. Lineage: Eukaryota; Metazoa; Chordata; Lepidosauria; Squamata; Teiidae.